AAAAAAUCAGACUUCCACUUGAAGCAAUUGCAUCUUUUAGGAUUAAUGUGGCUCAGCGGAGCUCUGCUGUGCUUUUAGGAUUACUGUGGCUCAGCGGAGCUCUGCACAAAGGGUCCGCGACUGGGAUGGGGGUGGGGAGUGAACGUCAAGGGGCCCAGGAGCGCUCGAGCGUCCAAGGCCCGGCGUGUGGAGCAGCUGGAGGGAGAAGACAGACUGCUGCUUUGGACCUGUUGGUAAUGAUGGCCUGAGCUAAACAUCUAACUAGAAGGGAUACCCUUCCAUUUCAAAGAACAGAAUGCUAAGGAAGCUGUGGCAAGUGAUUGGAGUUGUGCUUCAAAAAUUUCAGAAAUUCAGCAGUAUUUUAUCUGCCAACAAUAAGCUCUUUACUUGAUUGCACCAUGAGAAAGCUGCUAAUGAGACUUGUUGAGCACAAAAAUGGACUUGAAGAACCAAAAGCCAUUGUUUUCAAAUGAAGAACACUGAACAGUUUUAAGCCUCGAUGCUUUUUAAUCACCACUGAGCUUUUCCUCAUAACAUCAGAAUGGCAAGCAGGCGAAAAUCAACAACACCUUGCAUGGUCCUUGCCAGUGAACAAGAUCCAGACCUUGAGUUGAUAUCAGAUUUGGAUGAAGGUCCUCCUGUGCUUACACCUGUAGAAAACACCAGAGCAGAGAGUAUCUCAAGUGAUGAAGAGGUUCAUGAAUCUGUGGAUUCAGACAAUCAGCAAAAUAAAAAAGUUGAAGGUGGAUAUGAAUGUAAAUAUUGUACUUUUCAAACUCCAGAUCUAAAUAUGUUUACUUUUCAUGUGGAUUCGGAACAUCCCAAUGUAGUGCUAAAUUCAUCCUAUGUUUGUGUCGAAUGCAAUUUUCUUACCAAAAGGUAUGAUGCACUUUCUGAGCAUAAUCUGAAAUAUCACCCAGGAGAAGAGAAUUUUAAGUUGACUAUGGUGAAACGUAAUAACCAGACAAUCUUUGAACAAACAAUAAAUGAUCUGACUUUUGAUGGUAGUUUUGUUAAAGAGGAGAAUGCAGAGCAAGCAGAAUCUACAGAAGUUUCUUCUUCGGGAAUAUCUAUCAGUAAAACUCCUAUCAUGAAAAUGAUGAAAAAUAAAGUGGAAAAUAAACGGAUUGCAGUUCAUCAUAACUCAGUUGAGGACGUUCCUGAAGAGAAAGAGAAUGAAAUCAAACCAGACCGUGAAGAAAUUGUAGAAAAUCCAAGUUCUUCAGCUUCUGAAUCUAAUACAAGUACUUCCAUUGUAAACAGAAUACAUCCAAGUACUGCCAGCACGGUAGUGACACCAGCAGCAGUUCUUCCUGGAUUGGCACAGGUGAUAACUGCUGUAUCUGCUCAGCAGAAUUCUAAUUUGAUUCCCAAAGUCUUAAUCCCUGUUAAUAGCAUUCCCACCUACAAUGCUGCAUUGGAUAACAAUCCCCUUUUACUUAACACCUACAACAAGUUCCCUUACCCAACAAUGUCAGAAAUUACAGUUCUUUCUGCUCAAGCAAAAUAUACAGAGGAACAGAUCAAGAUAUGGUUUUCAGCCCAACGUUUAAAACAUGGUGUUAGUUGGACUCCCGAGGAAGUAGAGGAGGCAAGAAGGAAACAAUUCAAUGGAACAGUGCAUACUGUACCUCAGACCAUAACUGUUAUUCCUACACACAUUUCCACAGGGAGUAAUGGUUUACCAUCUAUUUUACAGACAUGCCAAAUAGUUGGUCAGCCUGGUCUGGUCCUUACUCAAGUGGCUGGAACAAACACCUUGCCAGUUACAGCACCUAUAGCCUUGACAGUGGCAGGCGUUCCAAGUCAAAAUAAUAUACAGAAAAGUCAGGUACCUGCUGCUCAGCCUACUGCAGAAACAAAGCCAGCAACAGCAGCAGUUCCAACUUCUCAAAGUGUCAAACAUGAAACUGCAUUGGUAAACCCUGAUUCAUUUGGCAUUCGGGCAAAAAAGACAAAAGAGCAACUGGCAGAAUUAAAAGUUAGCUACCUUAAAAAUCAGUUUCCCCAUGAUUCAGAAAUUAUCAGACUUAUGAAAAUAACAGGCCUGACGAAAGGAGAGAUUAAAAAAUGGUUUAGUGACACAAGGUACAACCAGAGAAAUUCAAAGAGUAAUCAGUGCUUACAUCUCAACAAUGAUUCCUCUACCACCAUUAUUAUAGACUCCAGUGAUGAAACCACGGAAUCCCCAACUGUUGGUACUGCACAGCCUAAGCAAUCCUGGAAUCCUUUUCCUGACUUUACUCCCCAAAAGUUUAAAGAGAAAACUGCAGAGCAGCUUCGUGUCCUUCAGGCAAGUUUUCUCAACAGCUCUGUACUUACAGAUGAAGAAUUAAAUAGGUUAAGGGCACAAACCAAACUUACCAGAAGAGAAAUCGAUGCUUGGUUUACAGAGAAGAAGAAAUCAAAAGCUUUAAAGGAAGAGAAAAUGGAAAUAGAUGAAAGUAAUGCAGGUAGUUCCAAAGAAGAAGCUGGAGAAACUUCUCCUGCAGAUGAAUCUGGUGCACCUAAGUCAGGGAGUACAGGCAAGAUAUGUAAAAAAACACCUGAGCAGCUGCACAUGCUUAAGAGUGCAUUUGUCCGGACACAGUGGCCAUCACCAGAAGAGUAUGACAAGUUGGCCAAAGAAAGCGGGCUUGCUAGAACAGACAUAGUUAGUUGGUUUGGGGACACCCGUUAUGCUUGGAAGAAUGGAAACUUGAAAUGGUACUACUACUAUCAGAGCGCCAAUUCAAGUAGUAUGAAUGGUCUGUCUUCCCUUAGGAAAAGAGGGAGAGGGAGACCCAAAGGACGGGGAAGAGGAAGACCGCGUGGGCGGCCUAGAGGAAGCAAAAGAAUUAACAACUGGGACAGGGGACCAUCACUCAUAAAAUUUAAAACUGGAACUGCAAUACUUAAGGAUUAUUACCUGAAGCACAAGUUUCUUAAUGAGCAAGACCUUGAUGAACUUGUUAACAAAUCACAUAUGGGCUAUGAGCAGGUCAGAGAGUGGUUUGCAGAAAGACAGAGAAGAUCAGAAUUAGGUAUAGAAUUAUUUGAGGAAAAUGAGGAGGAAGAUGAAGUUAUUGAUGACCAGGAAGAGGAUGAAGAAGAAACAGAUGAUAGUGACACUUGGGAACCUCCACGACAUGUGAAACGGAAGCUGUCUAAAUCAGAUGACUGAAAUCUGCCUAAAACGUUGAAGGAGAAUCAAUUCUUCAACUCAAGAUGUCUGAUUUACUGUGAAUUUGCCCAAUCUUUGAUGACAUUGAAAACGUUUUGGGGCAUACACACUCAAAAAGCAGGAUCCAAUACCCAAAAGAAAUGGAACUUAAUGUUGUGCCAAAGUUAAACUACUGCAGUUGGUGGAAGUUCUGCAAUGUAAAUAGAACACUAAUUAAAAAACAACUUGUAAAAAUGCAAUUUAAAUUUUAAUACAGUACAUUUUUCUUCUAAUAUGAUGGAGACAUUCUGAAUCUUAGACUUUCUGAGGGGGUUUAAUGACCACUAGAGCUUGUCCUCAUAUUCAGUCCAGUUUAAUACUGUAUGUCUAGUAAGAUGGGCUAUAUAUUGCCUCUAUUCUUUGAGAUGUGAUUAAGCUUAGAACUUUGACCAAAAAUUUUACAGUAAAAAUUGUUAGAAAUGGGUAAAAAAAAAAAAAAAAAAAAAACCCUGAUUUAUUACUAUGUCUUAUUUAUCAGACCCUGCACUAAGAUUAAAAGUUGUGCAUGGGCUUAUACAAUUUCAAAUGUAAAAACAGCCUAUUUAUAUAUGUUGAAACAAUAAGAUUUUAUGGUUUCACUGGCCCUUAAUAAUUGGAUCCUUCAUUAAACACAUCCAUGAAUACCACUGUUUCUACUGUUACUUGUUCCAUUAGAAGCUGAUUUGCUUUUUAUUAAACUGCAGGAAAUUAAUUCUGAAGAAGGAAAAGAAACUGACAUGGUAAUUUGGAUAGGGUGAAGCUUUGAAAUAAAUACUGCACCAAAAAUGUGAAAAAGAAUCACGUAGUAAAUGUAUACUUAGUGUUUUCUUACAAUCGUGGAAAUCAGAAAUGUUUAUACAGGUGUCAGAUCAGAAUUUUUAAGAGUUAUCUUUCAGUGAAAUUUUAUAACAGUUUCAGUGAAUAGAGAAAAAAUUCUGAACUGAUCAUAAUGAGUUAAAAGUUAGCUUUUCACUUAUGAAUCAUGGGAGUGUUAACUGUUAACUCUUGCCGUAUCAGGAGACUGAAAGUUCAUACUAAUUUACAAACUUUGUAAAGACUGGUGCUGUUCAUUCAUAUUGGGAAGAACCCUUUCUUUUGUGACCAUAGGACCAUUUUUCAAAAUGCGCUUUCUUCGUAGAAGAAAUGUUCAGUUUAAUUAGCUUUGGAUUUUAACAUGUUUUUCUGAAUGACCAGAUGUAGGCUUAGCCAGUUUAUUUUCUCUAAUUUAAUGGAUAAUAAAUAUUAAGCUCUUGGUUAAAUGUUUUUCAGCCAUUGAAAAUGUUAUGAAAAAGCCUUGAAUAUGCAUGCUGCUUUCAUUUUUAUAAACUUUUUAUUUUUUAACUAUAGCUUUAUUAGUAAUUCCAAAAUGCUGCAAUGUAGCUGAUUUCCUCACUCAGACAGCUGGCUUUGUGGGUGGCUUUUUUCAUACUACUGUUAACUUUUUUAAAAAAGAAGCAAUGUAAAGACCGUAAUGCACUAAGCUUUUUUUUUUUCUUUUACACGUUUAAAAACUUCUUAAAGCACUCUGUAAUAUAAUGAUUAAAUUGCUCCCUUUUAUAAACAUUGCUAAUGUGGUCUGAGUUUUGUUUGACAAUAAUUUUAAUGUUCUCAAAAUUUGAAAUGUCAAGUAUUAGAAAUGAAGCCUUUGAAUAUAGUUGUUUCCCUUGCAAUAUGUUAACUCUGUGUAGCUGUAUAUAACUAUUAAUUUCCCUCAUCUCUUUUAUAGGCCUGAUAAAACUCUUCUCUGACGUUUGCUAGCUUUUAAAUAUAUUUAUUUGACAGAGCAAAAGAACCCUCUUCUGGUUGAUUGUGACCUUGAAUACAAAAUAAAAGUAGUGAUUAGUAGUUUA
Molecule: RNA transcript, 5031 nt
Organism: Homo sapiens (human)
Lineage: Eukaryota; Metazoa; Chordata; Mammalia; Primates; Hominidae
Gene: ZHX1
Gene name: zinc fingers and homeoboxes 1
Exons: 4
Source: RefSeq, marked reviewed